This 443-nucleotide ribosomal RNA is filed under the name uncultured bacterium. RNAcentral describes it as "partial 16S ribosomal RNA". It matches the Rfam family "Bacterial small subunit ribosomal RNA", at positions 338 to 795 of the family's 1533-position model. The record is from RNAcentral.
CCUACGGGUGGCUGCAGUGGGGAAUAUUGGGCAAUGGGCACAAGCCUGAUCCAGCAACGCCGCGUGAAGGAAGAAGGCUUUCGGGUUGUAAACUUCUUUUAUUGAGGACGAAACAAAUGCCGGUACUCAAUUAAUAAGCCACGGUUAACUACGUGCCAACAGCCGCCGUAAUACGUAGGUGGCAAGCGUUAUCCGGAUUUACUGGGUGUAAAGGGCGUGUAGGCGGGACUACAAGCCGGGUGUGAAAACCAUGGGCUCAAACCAGGGUCUGCAUUGGAGACUGUAGGUCUUGAGUGAGGGAGAGGCAGGCGGAAUUCCGGGUGUAGCGGUGGAAUGCGUAGAUAUAGGGAGGAACACCAGUGGCGAAGGCGGCCUGCUGGACAGUAACUGACGCUGAGGCGCGAAAGCGUGGGGAGCAAACAGGAUUAGAUACCCGAGUAGUC